AUGAACGCUGGCGGCGUGCCUAAUACAUGCAAGUCGAGCGAACGGACGAGAAGCUUGCUUCUCUGAUGUUAGCGGCGGACGGGUGAGUAACACGUGGAUAACCUACCUAUAAGACUGGGAUAACUUCGGGAAACCGUAGCUAAUACCGGAUAAUAUUUUGAACCGCAUGGUUCAAAAGUGAAAGACGGUCUUGCUGUCACUUAUAGAUGGAUCCGCGCUGCAUUAGCUAGUUGGUAAGGCAACGGCUUACCAAGGCAACGAUGCAUAGCCGACCUGAGAGGGUGAUCGGCCACACUGGAACUGAGACACGGUCCAGACUCCUACGGGAGGCAGCAGUAGGGAAUCUUCCGCAAUGGGCGAAAGCCUGACGGAGCAACGCCGCGUGAGUGAUGAAGGUCUUCGGAUCGUAAAACUCUGUUAUUAGGGAAGAACAUAUGUGUAAGUAACUGUGCACAUCUUGACGGUACCUAAUCAGAAAGCCACGGCUAACUACGUG
Molecule: ribosomal RNA, 496 nt
Filed under: uncultured bacterium
Lineage: Bacteria
Description: partial 16S ribosomal RNA
Rfam family: Bacterial small subunit ribosomal RNA
Source: RNAcentral